UACGUAGGCAGCGAGCGUUGUUCGGAAUUACUGGGCGUAAAGGGCGUGUAGGCGGCCAACUAAGUCCGACGUGAAAUCCCCAGGCUUAACCUGGGAACUGCGUCGGAUACUGGAUGGCUUGAAUUCGGGAGAGGGAUGCAGAAUUCCAGGUGUAGCGGUGAAAUGCGUAGAUAUCUGGAGGAAUACCGGUGGCGAAGGCGGCAUCCUGGACCGAGAUUGACGCUGAAGCGCGAAAGCUAGGGGAGCAAACGGG
RNAcentral lists this ribosomal RNA (253 nucleotides) under uncultured bacterium. Its description in RNAcentral is "partial 16S ribosomal RNA". It matches the Rfam family "Bacterial small subunit ribosomal RNA", at positions 524 to 776 of the family's 1533-position model. The record is from RNAcentral.